Molecule: ribosomal RNA, 206 nt
Filed under: uncultured bacterium
Lineage: Bacteria
Description: partial 16S ribosomal RNA
Rfam family: Bacterial small subunit ribosomal RNA
Source: RNAcentral
AUUGUUCUCUGCAACUCGAGAACAUGAAGUUGGAAUCGCUAGUAAUCGCGGAUCAGCAUGCCGCGGUGAAUACGUUCCCGGGUCUUGUACACACCGCCCGUCACGCCAUGGGAGUUGGUUCUGCCUGACGGCGUUGAGGUAACCCGCAAGGGAGCCUGGCGACCACGGUAGGGUCAGCGACUGGGGCGAAGUCGUAACAAGGUAUC